Callithrix jacchus (white-tufted-ear marmoset) is the source of this 3607-nucleotide non-coding RNA. NCBI's taxonomy places the organism in Eukaryota, Metazoa, Chordata, Mammalia, Primates, Cebidae. The record is from RefSeq and is a predicted model, not a curated record.
AGUGAUAAUAAUGAAGUAAAAAGAACAGAGUGCAGUACUGUGAUCCACCCAUGAUGAAGAAGUAGAAAUAUACUAGAAUAUAGAAUCGUGUGGCAUAGUAUUACACAGAUCUGGAUGAGACUUUGUCCUGCCUGGAAGGGAUGACAUCCAAUGAUGGCAGACCAGAGAGAUGUAGAAAACCUGAAUCCGGGGCCGGGCGUGGUGGCUCAAGCCUGUAAUCCCAGCACUUUGGGAGGCCGAGGCGGGUUGAUUACGAGGUCAAGAGAUUGAGACCAUCCUGGUCAACAUGGUGAAACCCCGUCUCUCCUAAAAAUACCAAAAAAUUAGCUGGGCAUGGUGGCGUGUGCCUGUAAUCCCAACUACUCAGGAGGCUGAGGCAGGAAAAUUGCCUGAACCCAGGAGGCAGAGGUUGCGGUGAGCUGAGAUUGCACCAUUGCACUCCAGCCUGGGUAACAAGAGCAAAACUCUGUCUCAAAAAAAAAAAAGAAAAGAAAACCUGAAUCCUUGAUGGAAUUUUAAACUGCUAAAUCAACCAAUGCUGAGCCCUUCCUUCCAUAAGACUUAUGUUUUCACCCGAUUAGAGUCAGGAUUUUAAUUACGUGAAGCUAAAACAUCCUAAUACAACUGGUAUGGGAGAGAUGUCCUCUUUGAUGCCAGUGUUCUGGAAUCUGGAAAAGAGCCCUCUAGGUGCACCCCACUUUGGUUCCCAAAGUUGUGAUGUUGACAAAUACAGCCCUAAUGAGCAUGUGCUUUAGAUAAACAAUUAUAAAUAUAACAACCAAAUAUAAAUAUAACAACAAACUGUAUCAAUAUUUCUACUAUAAUAAAAUUUUUAAUGUUUUACUCCCUCAAGCUAUUCAACAAGGUCUACCUAUUAACUUCUUUUGUUUUUGUAAAUAUAACAAUAUUGCUAUCUCAUUGUCCAUCCACGUCCAUUUCGGGCACUAUUCUUAGCAUCCAAGUUACUACAGUAAAAAAAACUGAUAUGGCCCCUACUCUUUGGAAUUUACAGCCAAGUUAGGGAGACAGUUAAACCAGAAAAGCAACACAUAAAUAGGUGAUUUCAGGACAGGAUUCGUGCUAAGAAAAAAUGUAAACCAAGGAAUGUGAUAAGAGUUGGGAAUGAAGGGAAAGGUAUCAGAUUGAGGGUCAAGAAAGCCUCUCUGAGAUGAUGACAUUUGAGCUGAGACCUAGAAGGUGACAUUUGAGGAGAAAACACCAGCCUGGAAAAAGAGUAAGAAUGUAAGAGGAAGAAGGAAUAGAAACUGCAAGAGCCCAGAGAUGGGAACCAACUUGAUGUGACUAUAAUUAUCUUCCUUUUCCUAAUGAGAAUAUUACUAACUUCUUCUUGUCAUUGAAGAGUUGGAUGUAUAGUUUUCCACAUUUUCCCAGCUUUUGCAAUGAUAUCCAGGUUACAAGAAUAUAAGCAAGCCUUUCUUCCUACUCUUAUUUCUUAUUAAAAAUAUAAUAAAAAGAAUUUAGGUCAGAGAGAAAAAUCUAGGAAUUUUUCGUACAUGAUUUUUCAAAUGUUUUUGUUACCAAAAAAAAACUACAAUGUUUUUCAUGUAACGGACUAGAUUACCCAGAGAGCAGUAAUUUUAAAAAUGCUGUCUUCCAUGGGUUAUAUGACAGGCAGUUUUCAAAAGCCUGAUCACAUGCAGGGAGCAGGAGAGUUGUCUCAGAAAUGGUGCUAGAGGUAUGGGAUGCAGGUUCACAUAUCUUGGAUGUGCUCAUAAAAAGGGAAUUACUUAGGGAACUGCCCCUUCUUCUUGGACCCCCCAGAGAACUUUCAGAUCCCAUGACUGCCACAGUCAAGCUCUAUUAUGGAAAAUUCACACCGAUUUUCAGGAAGGGCUUCCCCCUGAAAAGCCCUUCAUUUGACUUGCGGAUAACAGAAAUGUGGUUUCUGUCAUGCAAUACAAAAUGGUAUUUCAAAACAAUUUCAACAAAUGGUUUUACCAAAAAUAUCCCACGGCAAAGUGUUAUCAUUGUUUUCCCUUUGAAUUGGCUUAGUGUACUAAAGAAUUUAAGACUGCCACUUCCUUUGCAUUUUUUUCUUUUCAUGUGAUAUGACAAGGGAGAGGAAUUUUCUGUUUAAAGUGAGAGAACAAGGUAAUGUUAAUAACUUCAACUCUUCACCUGACAGAGAGACAAAACUGAAGGAAACCCAAGCUUUGAAAAAACACAGGCUGAUUUCAAGCCAGUUAGUUGUGUCAGAGGAAAAAUACCUUCAAGAUUUUUUUUAAGAAUCAAAGGAAGCAAAAGUUAUUUUGAUUCUCAUAGAGAUAGCCAUCAUGAAGUACACUUACAAUCAUACUAAGGUGAAAAUCAAAAUUAUUUAAUUUUGGCAAGGUGCAAUGGCUCACACCUGUAAUCCCAGCACUUCAGGAGGCCAAGGUGGGUGGAUCACUUGAGUCCAGGAAUUUGAGACUGGGGGUGAGCAUGGUGAAAACCUGUCUCUAUAAAAAAAUACAAAAAUUAGCCAAGCGUGGUGGCACGUGUCUGUAGUCCCAGCUACUUGGGAGGCUGAGGUGGGAGGAUUGCUUGAGCCCAGGACACUGAGAUUGUAGUGAGCCAAGAUCACACCACUGCACUCUAGCCAGGGCAACAGAGUGAGACGCUGUCUCCAAAACAAAUUAUUUAAUUUUGUCCAUAGUCGAAAUUCUGUUGUACAGAGAAAUCACAGCAUUGCUACUUUGUGAUAAUAAAAAUAUAACAUCUUAACAUUUUACUCCAUGAAUAAUCAGAUUUGGGGUGUUGACAGAUGUGGUGGAUUUCAGGCAAAAACAAGUUUUGCUUUGUAGAUCCAAUGUGACUGACUAGAUUCAAACUGUUUCCAAGUUCUUAUGGGUCAUAUCUGGACUAAGUUUUCUUGUCAUAUAGAGAAUAAAACAGCAAAUGUGGACAAGUGUUGAUGAGCAAACAUCCAAGGAACGUUGAGGUCCUUCCUGUGUUUACAUAGUCUAAUGAUGGAACAAUCACUGAAGCCCAUAAGACUGGUCCUAAUCUGGCCUUGUCAUUCCUCCAACUCCCAGAGUCAGAGUUUCCACACCACCUCUUCUACCUUCCUUCUUCUCCAUCAGGGGACUCUUCUUGAGGAUACACAUAUGGGUUGUUCUCACACUCAGGGGUUUGAAGAUCCUUUCUCAGUUACUUCAUCCCAAGCCCCUUAAACCUACCUUCUUCUAUAGUGAUAUCUACAUCCCCCAUUCCAGUCACCCUUACCGCAUAUCUGAUCUUGUACAAUGGCCCUCUCUGGUGACUCCCACACUUCCUAAUUCUCUUCCUUAUCAGAAUCCCUCCUUCAUGUGGUGGUAGAAAUCUUACACAAUUGACAUUCCUAAGACUCUUCCUUAUCAAGAACCUAUGGCCUGCUGUGUGCCAGAUGAAAGCCAUAUUGGUCUACCUAGACCUCCAAGCCCUUCAGAAAUUUCAGUCCCUCCCAUUUUACCAUUCCAACCAACAUAUCAGUUUGGGUCCAAGAUGAGAAUUCCUGACAUAAUGACUAUUAGAAUGUAAGCUCCCUGAGGGCAGGGACUUUUUCUGGCUUGUUCCUUGCUAUAUCCCAUGCUGAAUGAAUGAAUGAAUAAAUUAAUGGACAAAUGAA